Cygnus olor (mute swan) is the source of this 777-nucleotide long non-coding RNA. RefSeq lists it as uncharacterized. Lineage: Eukaryota; Metazoa; Chordata; Aves; Anseriformes; Anatidae. The transcript has 4 exons. The record is from RefSeq and is a predicted model, not a curated record.
GCCCCCCGGCUGGGCUGGGAGGAGCGUGAGGGGAGCCGCUGUUAGUGCGGGGACCGUUACUUUACGUGCCGCUUUGUAGCGGCCCGCUGUGAACUGAGAUCGCCUCUUGGCGUUGUGGCAGAGCAGGAAAGUGGCAGCAGGCUGUGGGGAGCCGAGCGCCGGGGCAGCAGAUGAGAAAUGAUUUUCAGAAGGAAUCUAUCCAGUGAUUGUGACCUACCACUGAGCUGCCUGAUGCUACUACCUCAACUCCGUCCUUCAUAAGAUUAAUCACUCUUCUUACUUCGCUGAACAGCAGCAGAAAAUAUUAUCAAGAUACGCCUUCCAACAACCUGUACCCACCCAAAGAACUUUCUGCUGCACUUCAAAGUGACUGCUUAACUCUAGGUCUCCUUGCAGAAAAAUAAUGGCUAAAGAGGUGACAAGAUCUAAUGCAGAAAGGCAUAACCCAGACAUGUGGAACCAGAGCAAGAGUAUUCUGAAUCAGGAAGAGAACAGAAGGCAUGUCAACACCAUACAGAGCACCAUGCACAGAUGCGGGUUUGGAUUGUGGAAGCAGAAUGGAAACACCAGUACAGUACUUCUUCCAGGCCAAUAACUCCUGCUGAGCACUGCUUUUCAGUAACAUUAACCAUUCUAACCAGAGUACAGAGCUAACUUGGUUCUGAAACUUAUUUGGCUACCACUAGCUUUCUCCUCUGCACAGUACGAUAGCACAUGGCAUAGGUACAUUCAAAAUGAUCUACAAUAAAAUAGAUUGAGCUCUUGGUUUCCCCUUUG